GACGAACGCUGGCGGCGUGCUUAACACAUGCAAGUCGAGCGGUAAGGCCCUUUCGGGGGUACGACGAGCGGCGAACGGGUGAGUAACACGUGGGUGACCUGCCCUCAGCUCUGGGAUAAGCCUGGGAAACUGGGUCUAAUACUGGAUAUGACUCCACGGUGCAUGUCGUGGGGUGGAAAGCCUUGUGCGGCUGAGGAUGGGCCCGCGGCCUAUCAGCUUGUUGGUGGGGUGANGGCCUACCAAGGCGACGACGGGUAGCCGGCCUGAGAGGGCGACCGGCCACACUGGGACUGAGACACGGCCCAGACUCCUACGGGAGGCAGCAGUGGGGAAUCUUGCGCAAUGGGCGAAAGCCUGACGCAGCGACGCCGCGUGA
Molecule: ribosomal RNA, 376 nt
Filed under: uncultured bacterium
Lineage: Bacteria
Description: bacterial SSU rRNA
Rfam family: Bacterial small subunit ribosomal RNA
Source: RNAcentral